RNAcentral lists this ribosomal RNA (2768 nucleotides) under Salmonella enterica subsp. enterica serovar Enteritidis. RNAcentral's name for it is "partial 23S ribosomal RNA". It matches the Rfam family "Bacterial large subunit ribosomal RNA". The record is from RNAcentral. Lineage: Bacteria; Pseudomonadati; Pseudomonadota; Gammaproteobacteria; Enterobacterales; Enterobacteriaceae.
GACUAAGCGUACACGGUGGAUGCCCUGGCAGUCAGAGGCGAUGAAGGGCGUGCUAAUCUGCGAUAAGCGCCGGUAAGGUGAUAUGAACCGUUAUAACCGGCGAUACCCGAAUGGGGAAACCCAGUGUGACUCGUCACACUAUCAUUAACUGAAUCCAUAGGUUAAUGAGGCGAACCGGGGGAACUGAAACAUCUAAGUACCCCGAGGAAAAGAAAUCAACCGAGAUUCCCCCAGUAGCGGCGAGCGAACGGGGAGGAGCCCAGAGCCUGAAUCAGCAUGUGUGUUAGUGGAAGCGUCUGGAAAGGCGCGCGAUACAGGGUGACAGCCCCGUACACAAAAGCGCAUGUGCUGUGAGCUCGAUGAGUAGGGCGGGACACGUGGUAUCCUGUCUGAAUAUGGGGGGACCAUCCUCCAAGGCUAAAUACUCCUGACUGACCGAUAGUGAACCAGUACCGUGAGGGAAAGGCGAAAAGAACCCCGGCGAGGGGAGUGAAAAAGAACCUGAAACCGUGUACGUACAAGCAGUGGGAGCACCCUUUGGGUGUGACUGCGUACCUUUUGUAUAAUGGGUCAGCGACUUAUAUUCUGUAGCAAGGUUAACCGAAUAGGGGAGCCGGAGGGAAACCGAGUCUUAAUUGGGCGUUAAGUUGCAGGGUAUAGACCCGAAACCCGGUGAUCUAGCCAUGGGCAGGUUGAAGGUUGGGUAACACUAACUGGAGGACCGAACCGACUAAUGUUGAAAAAUUAGCGGAUGACCUGUGGCUGGGGGUGAAAGGCCAAUCAAACCGGGAGAUAGCUGGUUCUCCCCGAAAGCUAUUUAGGUAGCGCCUCGUGAAUUCAUCUCCGGGGGUAGAGCACUGUUUCGGCUAGGGGGCCAUCCCGGCUUACCAACCCGAUGCAAACUGCGAAUACCGGAGAAUGUUAUCACGGGAGACACACGGCGGGUGCUAACGUCCGUCGUGAAGAGGGAAACAACCCAGACCGCCAGCUAAGGUCCCAAAGUCAUGGUUAAGUGGGAAACGAUGUGGGAAGGCCCAGACAGCCAGGAUGUUGGCUUAGAAGCAGCCAUCAUUUAAAGAAAGCGUAAUAGCUCACUGGUCGAGUCGGCCUGCGCGGAAGAUGUAACGGGGCUAAACCAUGCACCGAAGCUGCGGCAGCGACGCUUAUGCGUUGUUGGGUAGGGGAGCGUUCUGUAAGCCUGCGAAGGUGGCCUGUGAGGGUUGCUGGAGGUAUCAGAAGUGCGAAUGCUGACAUAAGUAACGAUAAAGCGGGUGAAAAGCCCGCUCGCCGGAAGACCAAGGGUUCCUGUCCAACGUUAAUCGGGGCAGGGUGAGUCGACCCCUAAGGCGAGGCCGAAAGGCGUAGUCGAUGGGAAACGGGUUAAUAUUCCCGUACUUGGUGUUACUGCGAAGGGGGGACGGAGAAGGCUAUGUUGGCCGGGCGACGGUUGUCCCGGUUUAAGCGUGUAGGCUGGUUUUCCAGGCAAAUCCGGAAAAUCAAGGCUGAGGCGUGAUGACGAGGCACUACGGUGCUGAAGCAACAAAUGCCCUGCUUCCAGGAAAAGCCUCUAAGCAUCAGGUAACAUCAAAUCGUACCCCAAACCGACACAGGUGGUCAGGUAGAGAAUACCAAGGCGCUUGAGAGAACUCGGGUGAAGGAACUAGGCAAAAUGGUGCCGUAACUUCGGGAGAAGGCACGCUGACACGUAGGUGAAGUGAUUUACUCACGGAGCUGAAGUCAGUCGAAGAUACCAGCUGGCUGCAACUGUUUAUUAAAAACACAGCACUGUGCAAACACGAAAGUGGACGUAUACGGUGUGACGCCUGCCCGGUGCCGGAAGGUUAAUUGAUGGGGUCAGCGCAAGCGAAGCUCCUGAUCGAAGCCCCGGUAAACGGCGGCCGUAACUAUAACGGUCCUAAGGUAGCGAAAUUCCUUGUCGGGUAAGUUCCGACCUGCACGAAUGGCGUAAUGAUGGCCAGGCUGUCUCCACCCGAGACUCAGUGAAAUUGAACUCGCUGUGAAGAUGCAGUGUACCCGCGGCAAGACGGAAAGACCCCGUGAACCUUUACUAUAGCUUGACACUGAACAUUGAGCCUUGAUGUGUAGGAUAGGUGGGAGGCUUUGAAGUGUGGACGCCAGUCUGCAUGGAGCCGACCUUGAAAUACCACCCUUUAAUGUUUGAUGUUCUAACGUGGACCCGUUACCCGGGUUGCGGACAGUGUCUGGUGGGUAGUUUGACUGGGGCGGUCUCCUCCUAAAGAGUAACGGAGGAGCACGAAGGUUGGCUAAUCCUGGUCGGACAUCAGGAGGUUAGUGCAAUGGCAUAAGCCAGCUUGACUGCGAGCGUGACGGCGCGAGCAGGUGCGAAAGCAGGUCAUAGUGAUCCGGUGGUUCUGAAUGGAAGGGCCAUCGCUCAACGGAUAAAAGGUACUCCGGGGAUAACAGGCUGAUACCGCCCAAGAGUUCAUAUCGACGGCGGUGUUUGGCACCUCGAUGUCGGCUCAUCACAUCCUGGGGCUGAAGUAGGUCCCAAGGGUAUGGCUGUUCGCCAUUUAAAGUGGUACGCGAGCUGGGUUUAGAACGUCGUGAGACAGUUCGGUCCCUAUCUGCCGUGGGCGCUGGAGAACUGAGGGGGGCUGCUCCUAGUACGAGAGGACCGGAGUGGACGCAUCACUGGUGUUCGGGUUGUCAUGCCAAUGGCACUGCCCGGUAGCUAAAUGCGGAAGAGAUAAGUGCUGAAAGCAUCUAAGCACGAAACUUGCCCCGAG